CAUUCACGGAGAGUUUGAUCCUGGCUCAGGACGAACGCUGGCGGCGUGCUUAACACAUGCAAGUCGAACGAUGAUCCG
This 78-nucleotide ribosomal RNA is filed under the name Streptomyces radicis. Its description in RNAcentral is "Streptomyces sp. DS1-2 partial 16S ribosomal RNA". It matches the Rfam family "Bacterial small subunit ribosomal RNA", at positions 1 to 76 of the family's 1533-position model. Lineage: Bacteria; Bacillati; Actinomycetota; Actinomycetes; Kitasatosporales; Streptomycetaceae. The record is from RNAcentral.